Molecule: ribosomal RNA, 377 nt
Filed under: uncultured eukaryote
Lineage: Eukaryota
Description: SSU rRNA
Rfam family: Eukaryotic small subunit ribosomal RNA
Source: RNAcentral
AGCUCCAAUAGCGUAUAUUAAAGUUGUUGCGGUUAAAAAGCUCGUAGUUGGAUUUCUGCUUAGGACGACCGGUCCGCCCACUGGGUGAGUAUCUGGCUCGGCCUGGGCAUCCUCUUGGAGAACGUUACUGCACUUGACUGUGUGGUGCGGUAUCCAGGACUUUUACUUUGAGGAAAUUAGAGUGUUUCAAGCAGGCACACGCCUUGAAUAUAUUAGCAUGGAAUAAUAAGAUAGGACUUUUCGACUAUUUUGUUGGUUUGCGUUGUGAAGUAAUGAUUAAGAGGGACAGUUGUGGGUAUUCGUAUUCAGAUGUCAGAGGUGAAAUUCCUAGAUUAUCGGAAGACGAACGACUGCGAAAGCAUUUACCAAGGAUGUUU